RNAcentral lists this transfer RNA (72 nucleotides) under Penaeus monodon (black tiger shrimp). RNAcentral's name for it is "tRNA-Thr". It matches the Rfam family "tRNA". From Rfam's summary of the family: Transfer RNA (tRNA) molecules are approximately 80 nucleotides in length. Their secondary structure includes four short double-helical elements and three loops (D, anti-codon, and T loops). Lineage: Eukaryota; Metazoa; Arthropoda; Malacostraca; Decapoda; Penaeidae. RNAcentral also lists the same sequence under 17 other names. The record is from RNAcentral.
GCCUCCUUAGCUCAGUGGUAGAGCACUGGUCUCGUAAACCAGGGGUCGUGAGUUCAAACCUCACAGGAGGCA